UGGGGAAUAUUGGACAAUGGGCGAAAGCCUGAUCCAGCCAUGCCGCGUGUGUGAAGAAGGUCUUCGGAUUGUAAAGCACUUUAAGUUGGGAGGAAGGGCAGUAAGCGAAUACCUUGCUGUUUUGACGUUACCGACAGAAUAAGCACCGGCUAACUCUGUGCCAGCAGCCGCGGUAAUACAGAGGGUGCAAGCGUUAAUCGGAAUUACUGGGCGUAAAGCGCGCGUAGGUGGUUCGUUAAGUUGAAUGUGAAAGCCCCGGGCUCAACCUGGGAACUGCAUCCAAAACUGGCGAGCUAGAGUAGGGCAGAGGGUGGUGGAAUUUCCUGUGUAGCGGUGAAAUGCGUAGAUAUAGGAAGGAACACCAGCGGCGAAGGCGACCACCUGGGCUCAUACUGACACUGAGGUGCGAAAGCGUGGGGAGCAAACAGG
RNAcentral lists this ribosomal RNA (429 nucleotides) under Pseudomonadota bacterium. RNAcentral's name for it is "Proteobacteria bacterium partial 16S ribosomal RNA". It matches the Rfam family "Bacterial small subunit ribosomal RNA", at positions 355 to 776 of the family's 1533-position model. The record is from RNAcentral. Lineage: Bacteria; Pseudomonadati; Pseudomonadota.